UACAGAGGGAGCGAGCGUUAUCCGGAAUGAUUGGGCGUAAAGCGUCUGUAGGUGGUUUAGAAAGUCUACUGUCAAAUACCAAGGCUCAACCUUGGGACAGGCAGUAGAGUACUUUUAGACUAGAGUGUGGUAGAGGUAGAGGGAAUCCCUAGCGUAACAGUGAAAUGUGUAGAUUUUAGGGAGAACACCAGCGGCGAAGGCGCUCUACGUGGGCCAAGACUGACACUGAGAGACGAAAGCUAGGGGAGCGAAUAGG
This 256-nucleotide ribosomal RNA is filed under the name uncultured bacterium. RNAcentral's name for it is "partial 16S ribosomal RNA". It matches the Rfam family "Bacterial small subunit ribosomal RNA", at positions 524 to 776 of the family's 1533-position model. The record is from RNAcentral.